AUGAAUGCUAUUUUCUGGAAUGUGAGAGGUAUAAAUGCCCCUGGGAGGAAAACCCUAAUUGUGGAAACUAUUAGGAAACAUCAAACCUCAAUCUUGGGUUUCCAGGAAACAAAGAAAGAUGACUUCUCAGAUUUAUACCUUAAGUCUCUAGUAGGUAGUAAGAAUUUUUCUCGGCACCACCUCCCAUCAAAAGGCUCUGCUGGAGGUAUUUUGAUGGGAGUUGAUGCAGAUAUCUUUGAGGUCAUUUCUUGGUCUCAUCUUGAUUUCUCUGUGAGUUGUGUCCUCAAAUUAAAAAGUAAUGAUACCACUUUUAGAAUCAUUACUGUUUAUGGGUCACCCUAUGAAGAAGGCAAGGAAGCUUUCCUCUCUAAGUUGCAUUCCCUCUUCUUAGAGUGCCCCCAUCCUACUCUGACUGGAGGUGAUUUUAACCUUGUUAGAUUUGCUAACGAGAAAAGCAAUGGAGUAGUCAACCACAGGUGGUGUGACAACUUCAAUGCUUGGAUAGAGAUCUGGAGUCUCCUAGAAAUUAAGUUGGCCAGUAGAAAAUUCACGAGGUCCAACAAUCAGGUGGACAUCAUCAUGUCUACCAUAGAUAGGUUGUUCUGCAAUACUGAAUUGGAUGAGAUUUUUCCUUUAGCCUCAUGUAAUGCAUUACCUAGGUGUGGCAGUGAUCAUGUCCCCAUUAUCUGGGAAUCUGGAGUGGAACAAACUAUAAAAAGUAGUAGCUAUAAGAUGGAGAAAUGGUGGUUAAUUAGGGAGGAUUUCUCCAAAUUAAUCAGCUGA
RNAcentral lists this ribosomal RNA (783 nucleotides) under Triticum aestivum (bread wheat). RNAcentral's name for it is "partial small subunit ribosomal RNA". The record is from RNAcentral. Lineage: Eukaryota; Viridiplantae; Streptophyta; Magnoliopsida; Poales; Poaceae.